AGUUAAUGUCAAGAUUGGCGGUUAUUAACCUCCAACUUUUCGUCACAAUUGAAAGUACUUUACAACCCUCAGGCCUUCUUCAUACACGCGGUAUUGCUGGAUCAGGCUUGCGCCCAUUGUCCAAUAUUCCCCA
Molecule: ribosomal RNA, 133 nt
Filed under: uncultured bacterium
Lineage: Bacteria
Description: partial 16S ribosomal RNA
Source: RNAcentral